UCCCUAUAGCUGAGGAACAGGGUACAUGC
Molecule: non-coding RNA, 29 nt
Filed under: Mus musculus (house mouse)
Lineage: Eukaryota; Metazoa; Chordata; Mammalia; Rodentia; Muridae
Source: RNAcentral